AGAGGAGGAGGAUAUGGAUAACAAUGAUGAUCUUGCUGGAGAUGCCAUUGAAAGUGAUGACAAGGAAGAACAGGUACCAGCAGAACGGCCUCCCAAAACAUCAAAAUUUAUAGCUUCAUCAUGUACUCAUCAAGUGUGCUUAAUAUCUGGAUGAAGAUUCAUAGUUGAAGGCUACAGACUUUGGCUUGUCAGAUUUUGUGAAACCAGAUGAAAAGUUUAUCAAAAUUGCUGGUAGUACAUACUGUGUAGCCCCCAAAGUGUUACAUAUGGCUUAUGGUACAGAGGCUGAUGUCUGGAGCGUAGGUGUGAUUGCACACAUUCUAUUGUGUGGCAGCUGUCCAUUUUGGCCUUGAACGAAGUUUGGCAUUUUUCGGGCAGUUCUAAAAGUUGAUCCAAGUUUCAAUGAACCUUGGCCACAUUCUCUACAGAGGCAAAAGUAAUUUGGUCAAGCGCCUAUUGAAUCAA
Long non-coding RNA from Rosa chinensis, 465 nucleotides. RefSeq lists it as uncharacterized. The transcript has 3 exons. The record is from RefSeq and is a predicted model, not a curated record. Lineage: Eukaryota; Viridiplantae; Streptophyta; Magnoliopsida; Rosales; Rosaceae.